Molecule: ribosomal RNA, 802 nt
Filed under: Escherichia coli
Lineage: Bacteria; Pseudomonadati; Pseudomonadota; Gammaproteobacteria; Enterobacterales; Enterobacteriaceae
Description: partial 23S ribosomal RNA
Rfam family: Bacterial large subunit ribosomal RNA
Source: RNAcentral
GGUAUCCUGUCUGAAUAUGGGGGGACCAUCCUCCAAGGCUAAAUACUCCUGACUGACCGAUAGUGAACCAGUACCGUGAGGGAAAGGCGAAAAGAACCCCGGCGAGGGGAGUGAAAAAGAACCUGAAACCGUGUACGUACAAGCAGUGGGAGCACGCUUAGGCGUGUGACUGCGUACCUUUUGUAUAAUGGGUCAGCGACUUAUAUUCUGUAGCAAGGUUAACCGAAUAGGGGAGCCGAAGGGAAACCGAGUCUUAACUGGGCGUUAAGUUGCAGGGUAUAGACCCGAAACCCGGUGAUCUAGCCAUGGGCAGGUUGAAGGUUGGGUAACACUAACUGGAGGACCGAACCGACUAAUGUUGAAAAAUUAGCGGAUGACUUGUGGCUGGGGGUGAAAGGCCAAUCAAACCGGGAGAUAGCUGGUUCUCCCCGAAAGCUAUUUAGGUAGCGCCUCGUGAAUUCAUCUCCGGGGGUAGAGCACUGUUUCGGCAAGGGGGUCAUCCCGACUUACCAACCCGAUGCAAACUGCGAAUACCGGAGAAUGUUAUCACGGGAGACACACGGCGGGUGCUAACGUCCGUCGUGAAGAGGGAAACAACCCAGACCGCCAGCUAAGGUCCCAAAGUCAUGGUUAAGUGGGAAACGAUGUGGGAAGGCCCAGACAGCCAGGAUGUUGGCUUAGAAGCAGCCAUCAUUUAAAGAAAGCGUAAUAGCUCACUGGUCGAGUCGGCCUGCGCGGAAGAUGUAACGGGGCUAAACCAUGCACCGAAGCUGCGGCAGCGACGCUGAUGCGUUGUUGGGUA